This 3809-nucleotide long non-coding RNA is filed under the name Homo sapiens (human). Its description in RNAcentral is "non-protein coding lnc-NUDT14-2:1". The record is from RNAcentral. Lineage: Eukaryota; Metazoa; Chordata; Mammalia; Primates; Hominidae.
AUACCGGGAGCUCCUUGGUGGUGCCCCCGGCAGCUCGGAAGCAGCAGGAAGCCCCGAGUGGGGCGGCAGACCUCCGGCCCUGGGGUCCCUGCUGGACCCCCUCCCCACUGCAGCCAGCCUGGGCAUCUCAGACUCCAUCCGCGAAUGCAUCUCCUCUCAGAGCAGCGACCCCAAAGAUGCUUCAGGAGACGGUGAGCUGGACCUCAGUGGCAUUGAUGACCUGGAGAUUGACAGGGUACGUGGCAGCACCCCUUCCCAAGAGGGGCUGGGCUUGGGAGGGCGCUGCAGCCCAAGGAGCCCUGAGUGGUCGGGCGGGGUUGGCCACCUCCCCUGCCCAGAGCCCACCCCGCUGGGUGAAGUGGGCUCCUGGCCUUCUGGCCACUGUUCCCGGGACCCCCCCCCACACUCUCUUCUCCAGUGUCGGCUCGGGGGCGGCCUGUCGAGAGGCCCCUGGCUUUGCGCCUGGUCCUUGCGGCCCUCGGCACAUAGCCUGCAGCAGGCACACAUCGCACAAAUAGCACCAGGGGCAGCCCCUCGAGGGGUCUCUAGACACAAGAGGGCACCCACUGACUCCACAUGCGCUGUGCGCCCCCAAACCCCAGGGCUUCCAGCCAUUGGGACCAGCUCUUUGCAGUUUAUCUCAAUAUACUUGCCCUCUGUCAGGCAGGAAGUCGUCUUCCCUGAUUUCAUGGCCACGUGGUGCCUCAGACCCCUCCAGCCUGGCCCAUCUGUACCUGAGUGGGAGGCUCUCACCCUCACUUGGCCCCUUUGUGGGAACCUGUGGCCUGCACUCUGGCUGGCCAGGGUCCUGGUGCCGGCAGGGCUUGCAAGCUGCCCUAGGGGGUCUCACACAUGUGGCCUGCGUGGUUGGCCUUGGGACAGGCCACAGAGCAACAGGUCCCCAACUCGCCCCGCGCGAUGAGGCCUCAGCCCAGGCUCCGCACUAAAUAGAGGCUGCCCCGGGUUCCCCUUCCUCUAACGGUGGAAAUACUUCCCGCUGGCCAGCGCGACCUUAGCAUGCCCCGGUGUGCGAAGGCUAAAAGCCAGCCCCACUUCCCUGUGCUCGCCCAGUACAUCCUGAAUGAGUCGGAAGCCCGCGUGAAGGCCGAGCUGUGGAUGAGGGAGAACGCCGAGUACCUGCGGGAACAGAGGGAAAAAGAAGCAAGAAUAGCGAAAGAGAAGGAGCUCGGCAUCUACAAGGAACACAAGCCCAAGAAGUCUUGCAAGCGACGGGAGCCAAUUCAGGCCAGUACCGCCAGGGAGGCCAUCGAGAAGAUGCUGGAGCAGAAGAAGAUCUCCAGCAAGAUCAAUUAUAGCGUGCUCCGGGGCCUCAGCAGCGCCGGCGGGGGCAGUCCGCACAGGGAGGAUGCACAGCCCGAGCAUAGCGCCAGUGCCAGGAAGCUGUCACGAAGGAGGACGCCGGCCAGCAGAAGUGGGGCUGACCCUGUGACCAGUGUGGGGAAAAGGUUGAGGCCUCUGGUGUCUACGCAGCCAGCAAAGAAGGUGGCCACGGGAGAGGUGUGUUGUCCCACGCAGCCAGGGCAGGGAGACCUUGGGAGGCAGCCCACUUCUUCCUGGGCCCAGAUGCUUGGUCUGUGACCACAGGGAGAGCAGGCCUGACAGAGGCGCCUGCCCCUGCUGCCCCAUACUUGCCUGGCAUGGCCAGAGAAUCGAGGCCCGAGGGUGGGAGCUCCCGGUUGCCGGAGCAGGAGCGGGCAGGAAGUGGGGACCGUUGUGUGCCUGCUGCUCAGCGCUCGGGCCAAGGCUGAGCAGCCUUGCUGUGGGCCUGGUGCCUGCAGGGAGCCUGUAUGUAGGAAGCAGGCACUGCCAGGUCACAGGGCCCAGCCCUCCAGGGCUCAGGGGUCUUUCACCUGGACUGUCACUUGUUGGGGACUGGUCUGGCCCAGGAAACGAGGGUGAAGGUGCUGGCAGGUGGCGGGGGCUGGGGCAGGGGCCGGAGCAGAGCCUCUGUCUGUGUUCUGGGGGUCAGGGCAGGCCAAGCCCCCGGGGGCUGAGGCCACAGUGUCCUCGGCCGAGGCCUAUGGUCUGGAAAGGUGUUCUGCAUGCUCCCCGAGCACUGGGGUGGGGCCCAGUAGGAUACAGGAGCAGGGGCUGGCAGAGGCCUGAGGGUGGGAUCUUGAUGCUGACACAGCUCAUGGCACAGCCCCCAGGAGGCCAGAAGGGGCCAGUGGGCCUGGGAGCCCUGGCCAACCCCGGGAGCCACUGGUGUGGCGGGAGUGGCUGAGCAUCCUGGGCCAGCCCUGGUGGGUCUGAGGGGUCUGUUGAGAUACACAGGGCUCCCAGCUCUGUGUGUGUCAGAGCCCCACUUCGUUCCAGGCUUUGCUCCCAAGCUCUCCCACCCUCGGAGCUGAGCCUGCCAGGCCCCAGGCGGUGCUGGUGGAGAGCGGGCCCGUGUCAUACCACGCCGACGAGGAGGCUGACGAGGAGGAGCCUGACGAGGAGGACGGGGAGCCCUGCGUCAGUGCCCUGCAGAUGAUGGGCAGCAACGACUAUGGCUGUGAUGGCGAUGAGGACGACGGCUACUGAAGUGUGGCCUCCAGGCAGGUGAUGUCCUGGCAGGGGGCCUCGCGGGUCUCCUCAGCAUCAGACGGGCUUCCAGGACCGCAGCAGGCAGGCCCCAGCGCCGAGACUCCUGGUGACAGGUGGCACCUGUCCCACAGCCCUCGUCCCAUGUGGAACUUACCAUUGGGAUUGUGUUUCUAUUCAGCAAGGGAAACCGGACCAAGCGUCUGCAUGUGUGUGAUCAGAUGUGGGCCGGGUGUGUGCAGGGCUGGGUCCCGCUGCCUGCCGUCGACUCAUCCAAGGACCCUCCAAGGCUGGCAGUGUGGUGUUGCUACUAUUAAGGAAACAGGCUUGGGGCAGCCCCACUGCUGGUCCAAGUGUGUGGAGGGCUGAGUGUGCUGGCCCUGUGACUCAGGACCAGCUCUGGAGUCUCCAGCCCACCCUCCGCACCGUCCCCUCCUGAGCAGCACUCGGCGCCAGCAGCCUCUGCCAGAGUGGAAGCCAGAGCCCUGCAGGUGUCCGGCGCAGCCGUGGGAGCUGAGGAUCUGGCACUUGAGAGGCAGCAGCUCCUUGAAGGUCCUCUGCCUCCAGCUGUGGCCCUGCAUCCAGAUACCUGCCUCGUCCGAGGCAGACACCCCCACCCCUGCCUCCUCCAGACCCCCCUCCCCGCUGCCUGCACCGCCUGGAGCAGCAUGGGGGUCAGACCCCUGCUCCAGGGCCACUUGAGUUGUGGGCCCAGGAGCCCUGCGGCUGCCGGCAGGUGAACUGAGUGCCCGACAGCUGAGACCGGCGCCCACCCGUCCUGAGCAUAGCUCUGUAGGCAGUGCGGGCAUAGCCUGCAUAGUGUCCUGGCGCUGGGAGUUCCCCGUGGACAGAGCCAGAGGGCAGUGGCGCUCCCUGUCAGAGCUGGAUCAGGCCCCCCAUCGAGGAGGGAGGGCAGACGGAGGCCCGAGAGCCUCCCCAGGCCUCUUCGUGGGAAGGCCCCAGUACCACUCGUAGGAGGUCUCAGCUCUGGCAUGGCUGCCCCGGAUGUGGCCGAGGGGGCUUCACCCUGUGUCCUUAGGAGGGGGUGGCCUUGAGGCAGAGCCGUGCCUCACUGACCCCCAGGGGCCUCAUCCUCCCCAUGGAAUGGGCUGUAUGUCCUGCCCCAACUUGGCCCGCAGCAGGCCAGACCCCCCUACCCCCGCCCAGAGCUCAGUAGCCAGCCUGGGUCCUGCCAGGGCUUCUCGAGGGCUUGGGGGAAGAAUAGAUUUAGUAAAGCAGGAAGAUCUGUUGUUACUUAACAG